This is an RNA transcript of Rana temporaria (common frog), 1131 nucleotides long. It is a transcript of the gene named myosin heavy chain, cardiac muscle isoform-like, with no coding region annotated. The transcript has 7 exons. NCBI's taxonomy places the organism in Eukaryota, Metazoa, Chordata, Amphibia, Anura, Ranidae. The record is from RefSeq and is a predicted model, not a curated record.
GACACUGGACUGUUUCCGGGGGAGGAGGGGGGAGUGUUCGGCGGUCUAUUUGACUCUCUGUAUGGGAUGAGUCCUGUCUCUGCCCUGAUCACAUCUCCUGUGUAUGAUGGAUCCAGCAGAGCAGCUUUUGCCAAUCGAUGAAGAAAAUCUCAGUGUGGUAGAUCUGGAGAAAAUUGUCCGCCAAUUGACAGAGGAGGUAGAGCGGCACAGAGAGGAGCUAACCAAACAAAAGGGAGAACUUCAGGACCUCCAUGCAGAAGAGACUGAGAGGAGCCGGAGCCGGGAACGUUAUGUCUCCCUCUUCGUUCAGAUAAUGGAUCUACAAGAAGCUCUGGAGGAGGAAGAGAAGACCUGGCAGCAGUUGCGGGAGGUGAACCAGGAGAUGGAGAGGCUUAGUAAGCCAUCAGAGCUGGAGUCCAGUGAAGUCCUGGAGUCCAGAUCGAAGGAGAUGGAAAAUCUUAUCGCUGCCUACCAAGAGAAGGAGAAGAAACUCCAAGAGGAAUCCAAACAUCUAAAGAGUUUACUAGAGAAAUCAAAGGAAGAGCUGGUCCAAUCAGAAUCGGAGCAUCGGAGAGUGGAAGAAGAACUUCACGCCGCACAGACGGCCCUCUCCGAUUAUGGCGGCCAGGGACUUACUGAGAUGGAGCUGCUCUUGGACUCCUGCAUUAGAGAGGUCAGACAGCUCAACAUCUUACCCGGCAAAAAGCGGCACAAGAAGUGACGUCGGCCCCUUGGGGAUUUCCCCGUGGACAGGUUUUACUGGCCAGGUAAAAUAAGCUGUACAGAUCUCUUCCGCUUCCUCUCUGGGUUCUCCACCUUGGUCCAUCUCCUGUCCAGAAAUACUUGCAGAAAGUGACCGGCCCGAACUUUUCAUGGUGCAACAGAAGUGGCAAUGUGGCUAUUGACCGUCGGAGCAGCGCUGUGUGCUUCACCACGUGUCCAGCAGGGGGCAUAGGCUGUCCAUUGAAUAGAAGGAAAUGAUUCUACGGAAGAAUGUUAGUGAUCUGUACAUGUACUAUAAAUGUCUUUUUUUUAUCGGUCAUGAUUUGAAUGAAUUGCUAUUUAUAUUAAAGUGUUUUGCGACCCUAUGUAUAAAAAUCCCACAAUAAAGGAGAAUUUUCUAUACAGAAA